AUAACCGUCUACACGUGGGCUGGCUACGGAUCUCCAGCAGACCUCGGCAGCGUCGAGAGCCCGGCGGGCGGCGGAUCCAUGGUCACGAGGCCUGCCGACGGAAGAAAAGAGGGUCUUUUUUUCUCCCUUUCCUCCCUCUUCUUUCACAGCCUCGCCCCUGGAGCUGGGCUGAGAGAGAGACAGCGACGUCGGAAGAAGGGGAGAACGCGGCGUCGCAGUGGGGUGGCUGGCGGGUGGAGGGCGCUAAGCGACGACCGGACGAGCCGAUUGAGGAGAGGGGUAGGAAGAGGAGGCGAUGCUUUGGGUCCGUCGAGCAGGCAGGAGCCAGGGGGUUGUCUCUCCCCUCGGUGGGAAGAAAGGAGUGGGACGAACGAGAGCAAGAGCAGAGCAGCGCAGCUCGGGGGC
This 405-nucleotide unclassified non-coding RNA is filed under the name Zea mays. RNAcentral describes it as "misc RNA Zm00001eb419820". Lineage: Eukaryota; Viridiplantae; Streptophyta; Magnoliopsida; Poales; Poaceae. The record is from RNAcentral.